CUACUUCGGGCGACUUGUUUUCUGUGCUCUGUUUCCAGACAGUCACACAACUAGUCAAUGGCUAUUCCUACAAAGAAGCUUCCAAAGCAGAUGGCGAGAAGAAGGAGCUGACGCCGAUGCGUUUUGACAAAGAAUGAAGAAAACGCAUCGCAGAUGCUGGUGGUCAGCGUCUCAACGUGGUCUUGCCUGGGUGUCUAGACCUACAAAGAUCAUCAUGACAUAGAAGCCAACGGCCCAAAUGUGAGGGAAGGGCAUCAGACUCACAGCGCGAGGAUACAGGCGUAAACCAAUAUCCAGGAAAGCAGAAGACAUAGGGCCAAGUCCCAGCGAAUGUUUCCCAUUUCCUCAAGUCCGCUUGAUAGCCCCAAAAUUCUUCUCCUGGACAGAAAUCCGAGGAAAAACACUCAUAUACACACACACACACACACGCAUACACACACAUGGUACUUACUCCCAAUACUCUACAGCUGAAGAUGUGUUGUUUGUGGACUCUGACAGAGUUUGAUUGUGUCCCAGACAUGAAUCUUUCAUGCGAGCACCUGUGUUCCAGCUGUUGAGACAGUUAGCCCACGGAAGUUCCGAGUGGAAGGAUGAGAAGAGGAAGAGGAAUUCCCAGCUCAGGAUAAUAAUCCAGGUCAAAAAGACGGAUGUCAUGUCAUUCACCUUCAAAAAGAGGGCAGAUUUUCCUCCAACACGUUAUUGCACCUUGACCGGUGUACUGGCCCAGGGAUGUCUCCAGGAUGAAGAGAGGGAUGCCACAGGUGAACAGGAACAAAAAGUAUGGUAUGAGGAAGACGCCUUUGAAGCCAAAAUUCAAUCUGUUAGUUCAAUAGUCCUGAAACUUUUCUCAAUUCAUAUUUUGCUCUUCCAAGAACCAUUUUUUCCCCACCUAUGUUCACCGGUUAGUCUUGCUAUGUAUUUACUCUGAAAUGUAGCAAUGAAACACACAUGCAGAAAUGAUUUUGUAUUCAAAUUUAAGAGAAAUUAUAUUUACCUCCUCCAUUUUUGGAACAAAGGUAUGGAAAUCUCCAGAUAUUCCCAUAGCCAACAAUACUACCAGCUACAGCCAAGAAGUACUCAAUUUUUCUGGACCACCGCUCUCUCUCCCGGCCUUUGGGUGCCGGUUCUGCUUUACUUUCAAGGUUUUCCGAGUUCAUUGGGAAGUGAUCCAUGUUGACCUUUAGUUAGGGCGGGUGUCAUAAAACUGUAACAAUAUCAAGACUAUGUUUGCUCAUUUAAACUUGAGUUGAA
Long non-coding RNA from Nerophis ophidion (straightnose pipefish), 1251 nucleotides. RefSeq lists it as uncharacterized. The transcript has 6 exons. NCBI's taxonomy places the organism in Eukaryota, Metazoa, Chordata, Actinopteri, Syngnathiformes, Syngnathidae. The record is from RefSeq and is a predicted model, not a curated record.